ACGACGCUGGCGGCGUGCUUAACACAUGCAAGUCGAACGAGAAGAGAUGAGAAGCUUGCUUCUAUUGAUUCGAGUGGCAAACGGGUGAGUAACGCGUAAGCAACCUGCCCUUCAGAUGGGGACAACAGCUGGAAACGGCUGCUAAUACCGAAUACGUUCUUUUUGUCGCAUGGCAGAGGGAAGAAAGGAAGGCUCUUCGGAGCUUUCGCUGAAGGAGGGGCUUGCGUCUGAUUAGCUAGUUGGAGGGUAACGGCCCACCAAGGCGACGAUCAGUAGCCGGUCUGAGAGGAUGAACGGCCACAUUGGGACUGAGACACGGCCCAGACUCCUACGGGAGGCAGCAGUGGGGAAUCUUCCGCAAUGGACGAAAGUCUGACGGAGCAACGCCGCCGUGAACGAUGACGGCCUUCGGGUUGUAAAGUUCUGUUAUACGGGACGAAUGGCGUAGCGGUCAAUACCCGUUACGAGUGACGGUACCGUAAGAGAAAGCCACGGCUAACUACGUGCCAGCAGCGGC
This 517-nucleotide ribosomal RNA is filed under the name uncultured bacterium. RNAcentral describes it as "bacterial SSU rRNA". It matches the Rfam family "Bacterial small subunit ribosomal RNA", at positions 33 to 518 of the family's 1533-position model. The record is from RNAcentral.